This 439-nucleotide ribosomal RNA is filed under the name uncultured bacterium. RNAcentral's name for it is "partial 16S ribosomal RNA". It matches the Rfam family "Bacterial small subunit ribosomal RNA", at positions 339 to 795 of the family's 1533-position model. The record is from RNAcentral.
CUACGGGAGGCUGCAGUGGGGAAUCUUAGACAAUGGGCGCAAGCCUGAUCUAGCCAUGCCGCGUGAGUGAUGAAGGCCUUAGGGUCGUAAAGCUCUUUCGCUGGGGAAGAUAAUGACGGUACCCAGUAAAGAAACCCCGGCUAACUCCGUGCCGGCAGCCGCGGUAAUACGGAGGGGGGUAGCGUUGUUCGGAAUUACUGGGCGUAAAGCGCGCGUAGGCGGACUGUUAAGUCGGGGGUGAAAUCCCGGGGCUCAACCCCGGAACGGCCUUCGAUACUGGCAGUCUGGAGUUCGAGAGAGGUGAGUGGAAUUCCGAGUGUAGAGGUGAAAUUCGUAGAUAUUCGGAGGAACACCAGUGGCGAAGGCGGCUCACUGGCUCGAUACUGACGCUGAGGUGCGAAAGUGUGGGGAGCAAACAGGAUUAGAUACCCUGGUAGUC